Molecule: long non-coding RNA, 1818 nt
Organism: Acanthisitta chloris (rifleman)
Lineage: Eukaryota; Metazoa; Chordata; Aves; Passeriformes; Acanthisittidae
Exons: 2
Source: RefSeq, a predicted model, not a curated record
GAAUUUAGCUUACGAAAUCAUUCUUACGCUAGGACAAGCAUUUGAAGUGGCCUAUCAGCUUGCACUACAAGCACGGAAAGGAGGCCAUUCCUCAACCCUCCCAGAAAGCUUUGAAAACAAACCCUCUAAACCUAUCCCUAAACCACGCGUUAGUAUUCGGAAGUCAGUGGAAGAAGAAAGCAGCCAUGAGUACAUGGGAGUGUAGACACCACCCUACUCGCUGCUGUAGGACUUUGUCGAUUCAGGAUUUGUUCUGUGUUCUGUUAGCUUAAAGAAAAAGCUUCUGCUCGAGCGGCUGUGCAGAGAUGGUAACCCAUCUGUAUGUUUGUGUUUGUCUUAAAGCAAAUAGAUCCAUCCGAACAAAAGACUCUUGCGAAUCUACCGUGGAUUGUUGAACCUGGACAAGAGGCCAAAAGAGGCAUUAAUACCAAGUAUGAAACUACAAUUUUCUGAUCCAAAACUGUCCCCUUGUUCCUUGUUGUGCCUUGCACACCAAGCAGUCACAGCACAGCCUUUCCUUUAUGGCAACGUUUCAAUCCAGCAGAGAGGAAGACUGCACUGUAUGAGUGGCCUUGUAACUAACAAAAAAGGCUGACAGUCAUUUCUGGUGAUGUCCUUCUUCCUGCAGCACUGACAGAAGAAUGACACUAUAUGAAGACUUUUAAAAUUACAGUCCACAAGAGGAGUGAGAAACCUUAUUUUUCAUGCAGUUCUCCCUUGUGACUCUGCCACAGUGCUUUCUUUGAUUUCUUAUUUUGGAAUUCUACUUUUUAAAGAAAAAGAAAAAACAAAAGGUCUCUAAACUAAUACUAAUGCUGCCUAUGAGUAGAGUAUUUGAUUGGGUUUUUUAUUUAAAUAUUGGCAGUUUUUAAUUGAAAUAGAACCAGAAUUAAUAAAUAGACUAUUUGUGAAACCACUGAAUUCAUUAAUAAUUACUGUGUUGAAUAAAAAACUCAUUAAAGUGACAAGAAAUUAGGCACCCUGAUUUCUGUGUGCACUGAUUUUAUAUGUAAUCAUUGAUGUCCUUUGAUCCUCUACAGAAAUAAGAACCUCUUGCAUUGUAGCAAAGGAUCAGAGUUUUAUGAACGGUUAGAAAAAGGUAUUAAUAAUGCACAGAAAACAUUUAUUAGAUAUUUUUAUGGAAGAGAAGUACUAUAGGAAAACAUAUGACUAUUUAUGGAAGGAAGCCAGAUUAAUUAUGAGAAAUAUUGUUUAUUUUAAAGUUAAGGAAACGACUGCUAUUGCAGCAUUAUGGAAACUAUAAGAGUUGUAGCAUCAGUGCACUGGAUGUUCUGUGUGAUCAGUCUGGAAUGAAAGUGGAAUGGUCAUUCUACUACACCUACAUAUAGUUUAUGCAGUUCAACAUUGCUAUAGCCAUGAAUUCUACUAGUAUUUUUAAAAAGUAAUCUCAGUGGUUAUAAAAAAAAUCAAAACCAUGGAUUUUGCUAUCAAGAUUUCUGUCACAGAAAGCUUGUUUGGAAGAGUGUUGAUAAAAUUCUACUGCAAAAGAUUUUCUAAAUAAAAAUAGCAAGAAAAAGAAAAAAAUUCCAAAGUAAUAAAAAUGUUUUCAUGGAACAAAAUAGUAAAGCAUUUGGUUAAUAUUUGAUUAAAUAAGAUUUACUUACUUUUUCUUUGAAGCGUUUUAAUUUUUUUAAUGUCUGUGGAGUAUUUGUAUAAUACCAUGAUGUAUAUUUAUGUAGAACUGAAAUUAUAACAGUACAAAUAUCAUUAUAGGAAAAAAAUGACAUUUUAACGUAUAUUGUUCUAUCCAGUCAAAUUGUGAAUCAUUUUGAAGUUCAUUAUAGAGGUAUUGAUAAA